ACCCGCUGAACUUAAGCAUAUCAAUAAGCGGAGGAAAAGAAACCAACAGGGAUUGCCUUAGUAACGGCGAGUGAAGCGGCAACAGCUCAAAUUUGAAAUCUGGCGUCUUUGGCGUCCGAGUUGUAAUUUGCAGAGGGCGCUUUGGCAUUGGCAGCGGUCCAAGUUCCUUGGAACAGGACGUCACAGAGGGUGAGAAUCCCGUACGUGGUCGCUAGCCUUUACCGUGUAAAGCCCCUUCGACGAGUCGAGUUGUUUGGGAAUGCAGCUCUAAAUGGGAGGUAAAUUUCUUCUAAAGCUAAAUACUGGCCAGAGACCGAUAGCGCACAAGUAGAGUGAUCGAAAGAUGAAAAGCACUUUGGAAAGAGAGUUAAAAAGCACGUGAAAUUGUUGAAAGGGAAGCGCUUGCAGCCAGACUUGCCUGUAGUUGCUCAUCCGGGUUUUUACCCGGUGCACUCUUCUGCGGGCAGGCCAGCAUCAGUUUGGGCGGUUGGAUAAAGGUCUCUGUCAUGUACCUCUCUUCGGGGAGAACUUAUAGGGGAGACGACAUGCAACCAGCCUGGACUGAGGUCCGCGCAUCUGCUAGGAUGCUGGCGUAAUGGCUGU
Molecule: ribosomal RNA, 603 nt
Filed under: uncultured fungus
Lineage: Eukaryota; Fungi
Description: eukaryotic LSU rRNA
Rfam family: Eukaryotic large subunit ribosomal RNA
Source: RNAcentral